GACAGAGGGUGCAAACGUUGCUCGGAUUUACUGGGCGUAAAGCGCAUGUAGGCGGGACUUUAAGUCGGGUGUGAAAUCCCUGGGCUCAACCUAGGAACUGCAUCCGAAACUGAGGUUCUGGAGUAGUGGAGAGGAAAGCGGAAUUCCGGGUGUAGAGGUGAAAUUCGUAGAUAUCCGGAGGAACACCAGUGGCGAAGGCGGCUUUCUGGACACUAACUGACGCUGAGAUGCGAAAGCGUGGGGAGCAAACAGG
RNAcentral lists this ribosomal RNA (253 nucleotides) under uncultured bacterium. Its description in RNAcentral is "partial 16S ribosomal RNA". It matches the Rfam family "Bacterial small subunit ribosomal RNA", at positions 524 to 776 of the family's 1533-position model. The record is from RNAcentral. RNAcentral also lists the same sequence under 1 other name.